GUGAGAUUCUUUGAUGGACCUCGCCCUUGCCUCACCACCGAUGAAGACUAACCUGAAACAAUAAUAAAUAAAUCAUUAGUAUGAUCCAAAUAAAAGAAUCAAAUUUUAUUAUAUAUAAAGUGUAAUAAUUAAUACCACUGAGACCCGCCUCACUGGGACCCAGCUCAUUGAGACCUACCAGUGCAGGACCCUCUAAUAGUGGAGCCAGUGUGGCAAUGG
Molecule: long non-coding RNA, 219 nt
Filed under: Elaeis guineensis (African oil palm)
Lineage: Eukaryota; Viridiplantae; Streptophyta; Magnoliopsida; Arecales; Arecaceae
Description: long non-coding RNA (EGUI_LNC079530)
Source: RNAcentral